This 68-nucleotide transfer RNA is filed under the name Marmota monax (woodchuck). RNAcentral describes it as "tRNA.Arg". The record is from RNAcentral. Lineage: Eukaryota; Metazoa; Chordata; Mammalia; Rodentia; Sciuridae.
GGGGCAUAGCUCCGUGGUAGAGCACUUGCCUCCUAUACAUGAGGCCCUGGGUUCCACCCCCAGCACCA